Long non-coding RNA from Zeugodacus cucurbitae (melon fly), 864 nucleotides. RefSeq lists it as uncharacterized. The record is from RefSeq and is a predicted model, not a curated record. The transcript has 4 exons. NCBI's taxonomy places the organism in Eukaryota, Metazoa, Arthropoda, Insecta, Diptera, Tephritidae.
UUGAAACUACUUUUUUCUUUAAAUAUGUUUCAUUUGUUAAACAGCUUUGUGCUUUAUUAUAAUAAUUUCCAAUUACUUUCGUUUUUUUAUUUUGUUUAUUUACUACUAUUGGUUUACUAAUUACACAUAUAUUUAUCGAUGCGCGCAUGCCAUCGCUUGUUUGCAUUUUCGUGACAUCACUGACAUUUAAAUUCUGUGCUGCAGUUGUUAGAAGUGGUUGUUCGGUUGUGUCAAAAACAGUAUUUACCCGGAAAUAAAUUAAAGUAAACGUAUUGUUUAUACAAAAUCAUAAUAACUGAAAUGUGCGCAAGUGUUUGCAAUUGUAGUUAUUUAAUGUGUGGACACCAAUAAAUCGUAGCAUAAAAGUGGUAAUCGUGGAAUGUACCAAUUCGCUCAUAACCUGCAAUACUAAAUUGUAUAAAGGAAUGCAGGCGAGUUCCAUGUUUGUUGUAUGGAAACGCUGGAGUGGAAGUGUAAAACAUUACCGACGGUUCGUAAAAUGUAAAUUAUACUUUUGUGUGUGCAUUGCAAAGCAUUUUUAUAACAGUAGCCAAAAUGGCUGAAGUGUAACAAGUGUUGUUGUUUGCUUUACAAAAGUGUAGCCAAAACCGCAUUAUUUCACUGCGUAUAUUAUUUAUUUCUUUCGAAAUUAAUGUGUGCAAAAUAUAAAACAAAUAAACGCGCUACAACUGUUUUUUGGAUUUUUUGCCUGCCAGCACUUGAAUUUCGAUGACAAAGGUGGUUUAAAACUGGAAAAAAUAUAAGACGUAAUGCCAGAAACUUUCACAGCAAGCAAUUAAUGUAAUGCUUACAACCAAGGAAUCAUAUAGUUGAAUAACUGAGCGUGGAUCAGCCAUGUACGAG